UGGAGUGGGGGGGCUGCGGCGGGCCCGAGGGGUGCGGCGGGGGGGGCUGGUGGCCGGGGCGAGCGGUGGUGGCCGGACUGGAACCGUUUAUUUUUCCUGUGAGUUUUCCCAGAACUCAGAGAACUCAGAGCGCAGUGGGAUUUCCUGCCGAGGCCGAGGCCCGGCCAAGCCCCAGCCCUGGCUGCCGGCUGCGUUGUCGCUUCCAUUCGUGAGGUGGCUGGACCAGAAGAUCGUUCUGCAGGAUGGUGAGAGUGCUGCCCUUGCAGUUUGGUUAUACCUGUGUGGUCUUCUUAGGUUAUAGAAAGUAGUUUUGCCUAAUCAGAUGGUAAACAUGAAUAAAAUCCAGUUCUCAAA
Tyto alba (common barn owl) is the source of this 354-nucleotide long non-coding RNA. RefSeq lists it as uncharacterized. NCBI's taxonomy places the organism in Eukaryota, Metazoa, Chordata, Aves, Strigiformes, Tytonidae. The transcript has 2 exons. The record is from RefSeq and is a predicted model, not a curated record.